This is a non-coding RNA of Chrysochloris asiatica (Cape golden mole), 366 nucleotides long. Lineage: Eukaryota; Metazoa; Chordata; Mammalia; Afrosoricida; Chrysochloridae. The record is from the annotation of a RefSeq genome assembly.
AUGGAAGGCCCAGCUCAGCUUCUCUGCCUGCUAGUGUUCUGGCUCCCAGAUGCCAUGGGCGACAUUGUCAUGACGCAGUCCCCAGCUUCCCUCUCUCUGUCUCCUGGUGAAAGAGCCUCCCUCACCUGCAAGUCCAGUCAGAGUGUUGGCAGUGCAUUAGCCUGGUAUCAGCAGAAACCUGGGCAGGCUCCCAGGCUCCUCAUCUAUGUUGCAUCAAGCAGGGCCAAUGGCAUCCCAGACCGAUUCAGUGGGAGUGGGUCUGGGACAGACUACACUCUCACUAUCAGCAGCCUGGAAGAUGAAGAUUUUGGAACUUAUUACUGUCAGCAGCAUGGUUAUUCCCCUCCCACGAUGUUACAUGCUUGA